RNAcentral lists this microRNA precursor (81 nucleotides) under Petromyzon marinus (sea lamprey). RNAcentral describes it as "microRNA pma-mir-210 precursor". Its record names the gene pma-mir-210. The record is from miRBase by way of RNAcentral. Lineage: Eukaryota; Metazoa; Chordata; Hyperoartia; Petromyzontiformes; Petromyzontidae.
GCCGUGUCCGGCAGCUCCUGUCGCUCGCAUAUUGUCCGCCUGUCUCAGUGUGCGUGUGACAGCGGCUGUCGGCUGCGCGCC